UUGCCAGACUCCUACGGGAGGCAGCAGGGGGGGAUAUUGCACAAUGGGGGAAACCCUGAUGCAGCAACGCCGCGUGAAGGAAGACGGUUUUCGGAUUGUAAACUGCUGUUCUUAGUGAAGAAGAAUGACGGUAGCUAAGGAGCAAGCCACGGCUAACUACGUGCCAGCAGCCGCGGUAAUACGUAGGGGGCAAGCGAUGUCCGGAUUUACUGGGUGUAAAGGGCGUGUAGCCGGGCUGACAAGUCAGAUGUGAAAUCCGGGGGCUCAACCCCCGAACUGCAUUUGAAACUGUUGGUCUUGAGUAUCGGAGAGGCAGGCGGAAUUCCUAGUGUAGCGGUGAAAUGCGUAGAUAUUAGGAGGAACACCAGUGGCGAAGGCGGCCUGCUGGGCGACAACUGACGGUGAGGCGCGAAAGCGUGGGGAGCAAACAGGAUUAGAUACCCUCGUACU
RNAcentral lists this ribosomal RNA (450 nucleotides) under uncultured bacterium. RNAcentral describes it as "bacterial SSU rRNA". It matches the Rfam family "Bacterial small subunit ribosomal RNA", at positions 328 to 794 of the family's 1533-position model. The record is from RNAcentral.